AGAGAUGAAGAUAGAGAGAAGAGUUGUUGGUGUUUGGGAGAAGAAGAUGCUGUAUGUGUUUGAUAGUUGAUGCUGUUUGUGUGUUUACAUUUAUAAAGAAUAUUGAUUGGCUGUGAUUUGGGGACAAACCUUCAAAAAGUGGAGAGAAAAUAUCACAAAAGGUUGCUAACUUUAGUUUUUUUUUUUUGUUUUUUCACUUAUCACACGGUUCUUACACCUAUCAGAGUGAAAAAAGUAUAAAUGUCACUUCAGUAGUUACAAAUGAAGAUAUUUUAGUUUUAGUAAAGUUUUUUAAUUGUUGGUAAAUUAUUCCUGCAGUUUUAAUUAAAGAUAAUUCCUUGAGAAUAAUGUUGUUUUUUUAUUGUUCUCUUGGUAAUGUAGAUAAAGUGAUAAACUAUAAGUUUUCCUGCUCACCUUUGGCUUUGAACACAUGGUUCGUGUGGCUGAAAAUUCUUAAGACCUAUUGAUUUUAAUUUGAAUAAGAAGAUAAGUUGCUAGGAUUUUUUUUUUCUUUUUUUAGCAUGAAAUUUCUUGUGGUGGCUAUAACUUUGCUUUUUUCUCCUUGUUGGACUUUCCUGUAAGGUUUAUGUUUUCCAACUAAGCAGCAGACAGGUUCAUUGACUCAUAGACUUCUAAUAAAAGCUAAUUUAUUUUCUUUGAAAUUUCCUCUCAUGGCCUCGUUCAUUGUGAACUUUUUUUUCCUAUCAUACCCAUUGAUAUGUUUUUUCUGAUUUGUCUUGCCUGGUUAUGUUAUUCUGCCAAAUUAUAUGUAGAGUUUAGAUUUCUUGACAAAUUUUCCAUUUGAAGUGCCUAGCUGCAUUCUGUUUAUAUCUGCAAUAUGUUGUUAUACCGAGACGACAAGACUUUCAUGUAUUAAGAGACCUUGUAGAUUUGUGUUCAAUGUGCUCCACUGAAAUUGACACUAUGUUGAUUUAGCUCAUUUGUCAAAAGGUGACCAGUAGUGUAUGGAAUGCUUAAUAAGUAAGGCUUUGAUCUUGUUUAUUACACAUGUGAGUUUCAAGUGUUUGUUGUUUUUAUUGGAGAUGCUUUUGAUGCAUUAGAAUCCUUGUCGACUGCAAAUGUUAUUAGAGAAUCUUUCUCUCUCUCUCUUUUUCUUGAUGACUCAUUGAAAGUGACAGUUUGGUCUUUAUUCAGGUGAUGAAGAUUGCGGGUUUUGGCUAUUUCCUCAUCAAGGAGUUUAGUUUUCUCUUGUUUCUAAUUCCCACCAUUAAUAUUUUGAAUGGUAGGAAUGGAUCCUUAUCACCUUUGGCACCUUCUCAUUUUGGCUUGUGCUUUUUAUUCAGAAGGCUAAGAAGUGUAGAAGGCGGGGGCGACAUUGGACAUUGACUCAAACAGAAAGUAAGACAUGGUUUCCCAUAUAUAUCCAAGAAAAUAUCACAAGAAGAUAUUUCAAGUCGACACAUGCAGACAGAAA
Long non-coding RNA from Camelina sativa (false flax), 1435 nucleotides. RefSeq lists it as uncharacterized. Lineage: Eukaryota; Viridiplantae; Streptophyta; Magnoliopsida; Brassicales; Brassicaceae. The record is from RefSeq and is a predicted model, not a curated record.